UUUCUUGCUUCGGCAGAACAUUUACUAAAAUUGGAACGAUGCAGAGAAGAUUAUCAUGGCCCCUGUGUAAGGAAGACAUGC
Phlebotomus papatasi is the source of this 81-nucleotide non-coding RNA. The record is from Rfam. Lineage: Eukaryota; Metazoa; Arthropoda; Insecta; Diptera; Psychodidae.